AUGGCGGCGCCCAUUGACGAGAGCGUGUUAAACGCUCUGCGGGGCGUAACCAGCGCCCAUACGCGUCUGCCCAAGCCGCUGCUGAUUAAAAUAUAUGUAGCCAGCUUGAAGCAGGAAUUCAAUCAGGAGCGACGCAUGUUGCUGGAGCUGGUUGGCCCCGAGCUGCAGUCGCUCUACGAUGAUCGGCAGAUUGAACUUGAAAUUGUGGACAUGCACUUUGGCACUGGUGCCUUGGAAGUCAGCAUAUUGGAGCGUGAUCCCUACUUGAUGCAGGACUUUCUGCACGAGAUCGACACUUGCCAUGCCCACUCAAAGAGUGUCUUCUUUAUGGCACUAAUUGGCGAUGGCAUUGGGCUUGCCCCCUUGCCCACACACAUAGAUGAGGACAUAUUUUCCGCGUUGCUGCAACUGACAACGGACAAUGAUGAGGCACUGUUGGCCCACUGGUAUGCCAAGGACACACAAUUGCAGUCAGAGGCCGUGUGCCAGCGCAUACUCAAACAGGACUAUCGCUCGUUGCCUACGGAGACUUGGCUGACAGAAUCACGUCGAUUGCAUCAGUUGUUUGAGCAAAGCCUGCAACGUCUUUGGGCCAAUAGCAGCGCCAAUGCGGAGCUGCAGCAGCGUGUGCAGCAACUGCGACGCACGCAAAUCGAGCAGGAAGUGCUGCGAGCUAUGGCUCAUUCCAGUGAAAAGAUACUGGCAGUUUUCCGGGAACGCGCCGCACAGUGCAGCAAGCGGGAUGUGGAGGCCAGCGAACGGCUGCGCAAAAUCAAAGAUGAGUUGACCAUGAACCUGUCGACGGAUAAUCACACAACGCUGGUUGUGCCUGGCAACGCGAGCAGCGACGCCAUAGAUCCGGAUAAUGAGGACCAUGAGGCGUACUUGAGCAAGUUCAAGAACAAAGUCACCGACAAGCUGCGUCUGUUAAUCGAGGCGCACAUUACAAAUGAUCCCGAUGUAAUCAAGGGGAGGAAAAAGACUGUGCAGGAAAUCUUUCAUGAGCAUGCCACACAUCUGCGGUUGCUGGGCGAGCACAGGGGCGUGCUGUUGGAGUCGCGAGUGCCACAGCAGCUGCGACUCAAUUUAAUGGCCAAUUUUCGCAACGGCAGCCGCCAUUCACCGUAUUUCAUAUGUGGCGCCUAUGGCAGCGGUAAAAGCGCUCUGAUUAGCCAUCUUUAUGACCAGGUGGGCAGCUGGUUUGGUUCGACGCGUGUGCAUCGCGUCAUUCGCUUUGCCAAGGCCUCGCCUCGUUCGGCCUAUAAUUUGGAGCUGCUGCGCGUCAUCUGUCAACAGAUAUCGAUUAUAUUCAACAUACCCGAGGGCUAUUUGCCCAAGGAUGCGUCUUUCGAUCCGCUGUACAUCAGCAAUUGGUUUCAGAAUCUGCUGCGCCGCAUCGAGGACAUGAACAAUGAUGUGCUCUUUCUGUUCAUUGACGAUCUGCAUCUGCUGAAUCCGCUGGACUGCGACAUUGUUGCUGCACUCUCCUGGCUGCCCACCUCGCUGCCCUGGAACGUACAAAUCAUUUGCAGCUCCACAACGCCACUCGAGCAACUUAAGUUUACGCCCAUGCAACGCGAUAGAUUCAAGUCGGCUGAGUAUCAGUUUCAUCUGAGUCAGGAGCAGAAUGUUACGCAGCUGCAGCUACCCAAGCACUGCAACAAGGAUGUGGACUUUGUUAGCUAUGUGGAGCAGCAGUUUGAUGAGCUCGAAGAGCAUUACGGACGACAUUCGGUGGCCAGUCUGGCUGCUUACAUUAGCUGCUCUGAGUAUGGCCUCACAGAGACGGAGUUGCUUGAGCUGCUAAUGCCCAUCGACGAUCCCGAGUCGCUCAUCGAUACGCACAACGGACACUUUAGCUUCGCUAGCUUCAAGAAAAUACACAGACAAAUGGACAAGCAUAUGCUGCUGCACGACAAGAUCAUGUCGGGCAAGGUGCUGAUACAGUGGCGCCACAAUUACUGCGGGCUGGUGGCCAAGCGUCGCUAUAUGGAUGUGGAGCGCACUCGCAAUCUGCACAUGGAGCUGGCCAAUUUGUUCUUUCCGCAGGACGAGGACGACAGCACGCUGGAGAAUGAAUCAACCAAGAGCGAAACCAAAUCAGUUAUUAGCUGCAAGGAGCGCGGCGCAGAGGCGCACAAGGACAAGGAGCGCGAAAAGGACACAGUAUCCGCGGGCCGCAAGUCAUCGUCCACACACCACAACGACGAUACUUCCACCUUCUAUAACCCCAUUGCGGCCGAUGUUUCCUACAGCAUGCGCCACGUCGAGGAGAGCUGGCAUCAUCUGAUGCGCUCCGAUGACACGAUGCGGUUCAAGCAAAUCGCAGUGUGCAAUUUUGAUUUCCUGCUUGCGGCGGUGCAAACGGUCUCCAUUAGCUACCUGCGCUGCCUGAUUGAGCACGUACGCUGCUAUAUACUCGACCGGGACAUCGAGCUUAUCUACUACACCAUACGCAAGUCGAGCGAUGUGCUUACGCGUGAUCCCAUGCAGCUGGGCUCGCAGCUCAUCUCGUGGCUGCGCCCCAUAAGCGAGCACGACGACGAUGACAACUCGCUCUUGAGCCUGACGGUGCGCUCGGCCACAGCCUGGUGCGAUGGCUAUGCGGUGCCGCUGCUAGUCCCAUUGACGGGCUGGCUGCCCGCGCCGUUGCCAUCGCAGAUACGCACGAUGACCGUAACGGGCACUGGCGUCAUACGCGCCGUUUGUGUUGCCCCAUCAAAGCAGCAUCUGAUACUCGCCACCAAUUCGGGCGAUGUGCAACAGUGGCACAUCAUGAGCAAUUCGCUGGAGCAUACGUACAAGGGCCACACUGCAGCCGUCACGUGCCUGCUGGUGGCGCCACAGCAGUCACAACUGCUGCUAACUGGCUCCGAGGAUGCCCAUGUGCUGGUCUGGCACGUGUCCUUGCGCGAGAAACGAGCGCACAUCAACGCACACACCGCACCCAUUACGGCCGUGGCCGCUGGUGUGAAUAACACGCUGAUCAUUAGCAGCAGCGAGGAUGCAACCAUCGCCAUCACAGACCUGGCCAGCGGCAAACUGCAACAUCGCAUAAGCUAUCAUCGUGGACCAGUCACCGGCAUUUUGGUUGCCGGCGCCUGUGACGUUCUCAUCUCGGCCAGUCACGACAAGAGCAUCUGUGUGUGGGAUCUGGAGAACUAUGCGCUGCUGAACACCAUGCAGAUGACAAGUCCAGUGCUCAAAAUUGACAUCUCCUGGAAUUCGGUGUUUCUGCUGGCGCUCUGCGAGGACAAUGCGCUCUAUGUGCGCACCUUGGCCACGGGCAAGGAGCUGCACACGCUCAAGGGGCACAAGUCGCGGAUACGCACCAUUUCCAUAGGCAAGGACAGCCAACGUUGUGUGGUGGGCUGUGAGGACACACGCGCUCUCAUCUAUGACAUGCAUGCCGGCAAGCUGGUGCGAUCGAUGCCACCCAAUCCGGGUCCCGUUACGGCCGUCUAUGCCAUGGACAAUGAUGACUUUCUGAUCACCGUGGGCGGCAACAAGAUCACCUUCUACUCCUUCCGCAACGAGGAGCUCUACAUCAAUCCCUACUCGCGCCAUCAGCGCCGCAAGCGCAGCCUCAAGCGGCACACGCUCGCCCAGCGCUCCCCCUCCACCACCUUACCGCCCAUCACGUGCUUUGAUCUGUCGCGCGACUCGCAGCAGCUGGCCAUUGCCUCGGGCCGCAGCGUGCAUCUGAUGCGCAUCAAUACGCCGGAGUAUCAGUGCACGCUGGACGGGCACAGCUGUGUGGUCAACUGCUUGAAGUUUGCGCCCAAUGGCGAGUUUCUGGCCACAGGCGGCGAGGAUCGUUUGGUGCAGAUCUGGACAUUGGCGCUGGGCGAGAUCAAUCAUACGUUCAAGGCGCAUGCAGCGCCAGUGGUGCAGCUGGUGGUGCUCAUGGACUCGCUGCGUGUGCUCUCCAGCGAUCGCGACUCCAUGCUGCUUGUGUGGAUGGCCGACUCCGGCAAUCUACUGCAGACCAUACAAGGACCCUACAAGAGCUUGGCAGUGACCAACAACAUGCGCUUUGCUAUCUCCACCAAUGGCGACAAUACGCUCAAGAUCUGGUCGCUGACGCAGGAAGACGAGAAGUUCCUGGUCUCGCACUCCGAUGAGAUCACCUGCUUUGAGAUUAGCGCGGACAGCAUGCAUGUCAUAACGGGCUCGCGCGACAUGUCCUUGAAGGUCUGGCAAUCCAUUGGCGGCAAGCUAAGCCAAGUGCUCGUGGGCCACAGCGAUGCUGUCACCUGUGUGGCUGUUUCGGUGACCAACAAGACGCAGGUGAUCUCCGGCUCCAAGGACAUGAAUCUCAUCAUUUGGGAUCUGCUUACUGGCGAGGAUUUGCAUACGCUGGCGGGACAUCUGGGCGCAGUUAUUGGCGUAAAGGUAUCCGCUGAUGGCUCCACUGCUGUGUCCGGCAGCGAUGACAAGACGCUUAUUGUGUGGGAAACCAAGCGCGGCUUGGCCUUGACCUCACUGCAAAUGCAUGUGCCCUUCACCCACUUCGACAUAAGCCUGGAAGUCUCGCGCGUUAUGGUGCAGCUGGUGGACAGCUAUAAUCUGCCGGUGAUCUGUUUGCACAAUACGCCGGCGCAGUAUGUUAAGCUGCCCACCUACUCGGGACCCAGCAAGGAUGUGGAGGAUCUGCGUCCGCAGGGACCGAAGCGGCAAAUGAAGCGACUGCUGAAGAAGGAAGUCUCGUUGGACACGUACACCUGGCAGAAGAAAUAUGGACAUCUGACCUCAUCUGUUAUGAUGGCGCAGGUGGAUGAGCGGCUUAAGCGCCGCUUUAGCGUCUCGGCCAGCAUGGAGGAGAUCUCGAAGAUAGCCGAGACCAAGACAGGCGCCUCGCAGGCAAAUCUUGGGCCGGAGCAGGCGGCCUUGGCGCAGUCGCAGCACUUUGAUCAACUGGAGGCGUUGUGGAACAAGCGUUCGCCGCCACGACGUCGCCACAAUGCGGGUUUGUCUCGUCAGACCUCGCUGGUGGAGGAUCGCUUAGAGUCCUCGGACGAUGACGAGUAUCAGGACGAGCGCGCAGACGAUUUCGACGAGUUCUUUUAGGUUCGUUUCAAUGCUCAGCAUACAAGCAAACAAUUUUUGAAAUACAAUUAUAAUCAAUUAAUAACAACAUAUAUUAAAUACACAAACUAAGUAUCUGCAAGCGUAAAUAUGUUAGAUUGUACUUAGUUGUUGGCCCACCCGCCUCGAGAGAGCGUAGAGAACAGCAGCUCAGAAUCACUUCGCUACAGGAGGAGGAUACCACAAGGGAUAAUCUGUAAGGCAAUUGAUUGCGGGCUCUAACUCUAACUCUGGCGCAUACGGUUAAUCACAACUUAUAAAUAAGUCAAUGUUUUAAAUGAUAAGCAAUAAGCGAGUAAAUGGCAAUUAGUCACGCUUCAAUUUCCACUCUACUCAGUGAUCUGUCUCUUGCAAUAAUUGUAGCAUACUUUUGUGGGCACACAUGUGUUCCAUUUCCUUUUCAUUUCUCUUGCUGGCUAUGUGAAUCUAAACUUUGCUAUGUCUGUUAAUCUAUUAUGAUGUUUAGUUAACUUUUGGCACAGCAAGCAAACGAGCUUAGGAUUGUUGGAAUGCUUCUGGCACAUGGCACAUACUCGAGUUAAACUCAACCUUUUGUUUAUCUUAGUACCUAGUGUUAAUCUAUCCUCAAAGCAAACAAACAAAAUUGUAGUCAGUAGUCUCUAAAAGCAAAAACCACCGUCUCAGACUUUAUAGAACCUAGCGUUAGUUAAGAGGGUAAAGCGAAGCAGGCGAAUCAUUUUGAGAUUUUAAUGUUGUAGAGCUGUUUUAUUGUACUUGUUGUUAGUAGUAGAUUUAAAUGUAUACUUAUACCGAAAACAUAUAGAAAAUGUUGCUAAUAUCUAGAGCAAAGAUGAAAUGCAAAUGCACAAACUCUAAAGGGGUUAAAAGCGUUACUAUGCUUAACAAACAUAAAUAAAAAAUUAAUAUACAUAUGCUGUAAUAGCGUAAAAGUAAAUGCUGAAAUACGAAUUACAACAACAAACAUAAAACAUUCGAGGCACACAAAUUUAAUUUGUAUAUAUUAACUGUACUCUGAUUUUGGCAACAUAUCCAGCGCUAAUAUAUAUAUAUUGUAACUAUUAUUGUUGAUUAAGCUCUGUUCUAAACGCACAGCUCUUAAGUUCAGCACGCACCUUAGAAUACUUCAAUAACUGUCUGACAAUCAGAAGUUCUUGCCUAGAACAAAAAACCAACAAGCAAAACCAAAAUAAAGAGAACAAAUAACAUUUCUACAGAUAUUUCUAUGCAUGUCAUAUGUGAACUUGUUUAAUCUCUAACCUAAGAACCCACACAAACCGCACACACAUACUAAAUAUAAAUAUAAAACAAAAAUUGUAGAACAAUGUUAAGCAACAAAAACAAAAAGCAAAAACAAAAGGGUUAGUCAAAGUAGCUAAGUUCUUGGCAAACAAACUUGUUUUGGGCUUUUAGCAUGUAGAUUACUACACUACUGUGUGCUAAAUGUACUAACAAUAGAGCAUUGUCUAUGUCUAUUACAAACAUUAAACUCAACUUUACUG
Molecule: RNA transcript, 6569 nt
Organism: Drosophila busckii
Lineage: Eukaryota; Metazoa; Arthropoda; Insecta; Diptera; Drosophilidae
Gene name: NACHT domain- and WD repeat-containing protein 1
Exons: 18
Source: RefSeq, a predicted model, not a curated record